AGUGAACGCUGGCGGUAGGCCUAACACAUGCAAGUCGAACGGCAGCACAGUAAGAGCUUGCUCUUACGGGUGGCGAGUGGCGGACGAGUGAGGAAUACAUCGGAAUCUACUUUUUCUUGGGGGAUAACGUAGGGAAACUUACGCUACUACCGCAUACGACCUACGGGUGAAAGCAGGGGAUCUUCGGACCUUGCGCGAUUGAAUGAGCCGAUGUCGGAUUAGCUAGUUGGCGGGGUAAAGGCCCACCAAGGCGACGAUCCGUAGCUGGUCUGAGAGGAUGAUCAGCCACACUGGAACUGAGACACGGUCCAGACUCCUACGGGAGGCAGCAGUGGGGAAUAUUGGACAAUGGGCGCAAGCCUGAUCCAGCCAUGCCGCGUGGGUGAAGAAGGCCUUCGGGUUGUAAAGCCCUUUUGUUGGGAAAGAAAAGAAGCAGGUGAAUACCCCGCUGUUCUGACGGUACCCAAAGAAUAAGCACCGGCUAACUUCGUG
Molecule: ribosomal RNA, 492 nt
Filed under: uncultured bacterium
Lineage: Bacteria
Description: partial 16S ribosomal RNA
Rfam family: Bacterial small subunit ribosomal RNA
Source: RNAcentral